This 282-nucleotide ribosomal RNA is filed under the name uncultured prokaryote. RNAcentral's name for it is "partial 16S ribosomal RNA". It matches the Rfam family "Bacterial small subunit ribosomal RNA", at positions 505 to 786 of the family's 1533-position model. The record is from RNAcentral.
GUGCCAGCCGCCGCGGUAAUACGUAGGGCGCAAGCGUUGUCCGGAAUUAUUGGGCGUAAAGAGCUCGUAGGCGGUUUGUCGCGUCUGGUGUGAAAACCCAAGGCUCAACCUUGGGCUUGCAUCGGGUACGGGCAGACUAGAGUGCGGUAGGGGUGACUGGAAUUCCUGGUGUAGCGGUGGAAUGCGCAGAUAUCAGGAGGAACACCGAUGGCGAAGGCAGGUCACUGGGCCGCAACUGACGCUGAGGAGCGAAAGCGUGGGUAGCAAACAGGAUUAGAAACC